Long non-coding RNA from Solanum pennellii, 1197 nucleotides. RefSeq lists it as uncharacterized. The record is from RefSeq and is a predicted model, not a curated record. NCBI's taxonomy places the organism in Eukaryota, Viridiplantae, Streptophyta, Magnoliopsida, Solanales, Solanaceae. The transcript has 2 exons.
CCCCCCCCUCCUCAUCCAGCAGCUCAAAAUGUCGGCAGUAUGUUCUGGCAUCACCCAAGGCUCUUGAGAAAUGCUGUAGAUCAUGCGCCUCUUUAAAUACCAGUAUUCUGUUAGUUGCAACUUCAUAUAUUUAUCUGUCACUCCAUUUCUGAAGGAAGUCUAGUUGAAUAUUGAUUGGUUCCCAACUUGGAUACCGCCUACUCUGAUCCCUUAUGGGAUCUGCACUUUCCUCAUAAUCUGCUUCAAUGCAUGUUUGUUUGACCUACACUGUUGCCCCUGCCUAGCAGUAGUUCAGAGCUUCCUGCCUUCCUAAUAAAUGGAAUCUUGUGUUGUCUUUGGUUGGCUGGGUUUCUAGGCUUACUUCCUUUAAACGAAGUAGAAUGUUGGGUUUCUCGUAAAGCCAGAGCAUGUGCCAUGGUAAUUGUGUUGAUCUGAAAUGGUAACUUUUGUGUUUAAUGUUCUUUCGAAGGGGUUACUUCUUUCUGUUACUAUUUUGAUUGAAUAUGACCUAAAGUCCUACACUUCUGGAUUAGCAGCUCAUCUACUUGAACUUGUCUAUUUUCAAGUUCGUCACUGUGCUUCAGAAGAUGAACCUAUAGUCAAGUCUUAUUGAUGGAAGGGUCUAGUCAGCACUUCACUGAAAUAUGUUUAAUCUAUUUUACACAUUCACAGUUACAUAUACCUAUCUAAAAUGCAUCAGGGGACUUUUUUUUAAGACGUUGCAUCACAGCACUUGCAAUGCAUUCCGCGGACCCUUUUUGUACUGGAAGUACGUGCUAAAAUCAGCUGUUUUUUUAUUGUAACACUAAUGCAAAUGUUGGCAACAAUGCUCCCUGUACUACUACCAAAGGGUUCCAAGGUUCAGACGUUCCAUCCGCUACAGGCCAUACUAGUGAAUUUUAAGCUGGAUUGCAGCCUUCCCUAGAGAAGCAUGGGGCUCGCUUUGUGAAAAGGGCAUCUCCUUGUUUUACUCUCUUUGGUUGAGGGCAAAGGAUGUUCUAAUUCAAAUAAGUCAUUAGCUGACAUAAAUUUCAACUUUGUGGAUGAUGUUUUAGGUGUGGGGAUUGAGAAGUUUUUUUUUCUUUGCUAGCUUGCUCAGAUGCUUGCAUUUUGGGCAGCAAAUGGAAAGACAAAUAAAAUAGACAGUUUGUUGGAGAUGGUUUGAAUUAUGUAUGGUUGUGGUUUGGUCACUCUUAA